AAUCAGCCCUUAAAUCAGACUGUAGUUCACCUGGAGUAAAUCCAGCAGCUACCCUGCAGUAUACAAAGCCAUUCAAACUAUCAAUAAUUAUAAAACAUAUUGUUGUGAAUUCCCUGUGCUCUCCCAAACACUGCCUGCUAGAGGGCUAAUAAACAUUCAAACUUCCUGUCACAGAGUGCUACUGAUUAGGAAAGUGGCAGCAGGAGUGAGCAGGACACACUCAGGUGAACUGAUUACUUAAGAGCAGACGACUGGCGGCAAAGCCUGUCCAGUCCUGCAACCACAUGCGUCCUUGAGACUAAACCAUGUGUUGGACAAUUACAUGGAAUUAACUGCAUCUCCUGACUGGAACUCCUUUAUUCGAGCCACUUAAGUAGUCAGCAAUUCAAGCCGGCAAAAAUAUGAGUCAAAUUCAUUUCAUGGUCCUUCGAGUCGGAGACCAGUUGACUACUUAAGACUGAGGGAAUGCAGUUUCGGCCUAAUGGAGAAAACAACACCACUGGAGGAAGAGAGGAGGAAUCUUCCUGAACGACAAUGGAGAAUAUCUCAAUGCUAUAGAUUUGAGUAUGAAUAUCCUACACAAGCCACGUCAGGUUUCCAGAAGAUUUAAGGGAUGACACAGAGCCAGCUAGCCCUAGGAGAUCUUCUUUUAUGGAGAAAGAGCGCCUGGUUGAAAUAACAGGCUCAAUGAGGGAGAGUAAAAAGGAAGAAACAGCUGAAAUGGAACAUUUAAGAAGCAAGCUGGAGGAAUGGGGGAAAUGUGGAAAACAAAGACAGGAAAUGCUUGAACACAUUAACACACUGCUCAGGGGCCACGCUGCCAGCCCAACUUAUGAUGCUCAGAAAAUGUCCUCCCACAUUGAACAGGGAGUACCUCCCCUUCACCAUGACUUUCCCAGCAGCCCUGAAACACUUCAAGGACCUAAAUUAUUAGGUGGACCAAUCUGCACAAUGACUACAUUUCCUAUAGCUACUUUAAGUACAUUUUGAUGCUAAUACUUUUACUUGAGUAACAUUUUGAAUGCAGGAUUUAUACUUGUAACAGUAUUCCUACACAUUGUUCCUUUUACUCAAGUACAAGAUCUGAAUACUUUUCCCACCUAUGAUGUUUUGUAACUAUGAGUCAUCAGUAAGUCUGAAUUUCUGCCAAAACAGUAAAGCUUGAAAUCAGGGCUCUGGCUGCCCAGCAAAUGUGAGUUUGAGAUAGAAUAAACACAUAUUUAAAAUUGUUGUGCCUUUUAAAAAUAUUUAUUAAAACAGCAGUCUCACGUAUUGA
This is a long non-coding RNA of Eleginops maclovinus (Patagonian blennie), 1276 nucleotides long. RefSeq lists it as uncharacterized. The transcript is spliced from 2 exons. The record is from RefSeq and is a predicted model, not a curated record. Lineage: Eukaryota; Metazoa; Chordata; Actinopteri; Perciformes; Eleginopidae.